RNAcentral lists this ribosomal RNA (491 nucleotides) under uncultured bacterium. Its description in RNAcentral is "partial 16S ribosomal RNA". It matches the Rfam family "Bacterial small subunit ribosomal RNA", at positions 29 to 507 of the family's 1533-position model. The record is from RNAcentral.
GUGAACGCUGGCGGUAGGCCUAACACAUGCAAGUCGAACGGCAGCACAGUAAGAGCUUGCUCUUACGGGUGGCGAGUGGCGGACGGGUGAGGAAUACAUCGGAAUCUACUUUUUCGUGGGGGAUAACGUAGGGAAACUUACGCUAAUACCGCAUACGACCUACGGGUGAAAGCAGGGGAUCUUCGGACCUUGCGCGAUUGAAUGAGCCGAUGUCGGAUUAGCUUGUUGGCGGGGUAAAGGCCCACCAAGGCGACGAUCCGUAGCUGGUCUGAGAGGAUGAUCAGCCACACUGGAACUGAGACACGGUCCAGACUCCUACGGGAGGCAGCAGUGGGGAAUAUUGGACAAUGGGCGCAAGCCUGAUCCAGCCAUACCGCGUGGGUGAAGAAGGCCUUCGGGUUGUAAAGCCCUUUUGUUGGGAAAGAAAAGCAGCAGGUUAAUACCCCGCUGUUCUGACGGUACCCAAAGAAUAAGCACCGGCUAACUUCGUG